AAAUUGAAGAGUUUGAUCAUGGCUCAGAUUGAACGCUGGCGGCAGGCCUAACACAUGCAAGUCGAACGGUAACAGGAAGCAGCUUGCUGCUUCGCUGACGAGUGGCGGACGGGUGAGUAAUGUCUGGGAAACUGCCUGAUGGAGGGGGAUAACUACUGGAAACGGUGGCUAAUACCGCAUAACGUCGCAAGACCAAAGAGGGGGACCUUCGGGCCUCUUGCCAUCAGAUGUGCCCAGAUGGGAUUAGCUUGUUGGUGAGGUAACGGCUCACCAAGGCGACGAUCCCUAGCUGGUCUGAGAGGAUGACCAGCCACACUGGAACUGAGACACGGUCCAGACUCCUACGGGAGGCAGCAGUGGGGAAUAUUGCACAAUGGGCGCAAGCCUGAUGCAGCCAUGCCGCGUGUAUGAAGAAGGCCUUCGGGUUGUAAAGUACUUUCAGCGGGGAGGAAGGUGUUGUGGUUAAUAACCGCAGCAAUUGACGUUACCCGCAGAAGAAGCACCGGCUAACUCCGUGCCAGCAGCCGCGGUAAUACGGAGGGUGCAAGCGUUAAUCGGAAUUACUGGGCGUAAAGCGCACGCAGGCGGUCUGUCAAGUCGGAUGUGAAAUCCCCGGGCUCAACCUGGGAACUGCAUUCGAAACUGGCAGGCUUGAGUCUUGUAGAGGGGGGUAGAAUUCCAGGUGUAGCGGUGAAAUGCGUAGAGAUCUGGAGGAAUACCGGUGGCGAAGGCGGCCCCCUGGACAAAGACUGACGCUCAGGUGCGAAAGCGUGGGGAGCAAACAGGAUUAGAUACCCUGGUAGUCCACGCCGUAAACGAUGUCUACUUGGAGGUUGUGCCCUUGAGGCGUGGCUUCCGGAGCUAACGCGUUAAGUAGACCGCCUGGGGAGUACGGCCGCAAGGUUAAAACUCAAAUGAAUUGACGGGGGCCCGCACAAGCGGUGGAGCAUGUGGUUUAAUUCGAUGCAACGCGAAGAACCUUACCUGGUCUUGACAUCCACAGAAGAAUCCAGAGAUGGAUUUGUGCCUUCGGGAACUGUGAGACAGGUGCUGCAUGGCUGUCGUCAGCUCGUGUUGUGAAAUGUUGGGUUAAGUCCCGCAACGAGCGCAACCCUUAUCCUUUGUUGCCAGCGGUCCGGCCGGGAACUCAAAGGAGACUGCCAGUGAUAAACUGGAGGAAGGUGGGGAUGACGUCAAGUCAUCAUGGCCCUUACGACCAGGGCUACACACGUGCUACAAUGGCGCAUACAAAGAGAAGCGACCUCGCGAGAGCAAGCGGACCUCAUAAAGUGCGUCGUAGUCCGGAUUGGAGUCUGCAACUCGACUCCAUGAAGUCGGAAUCGCUAGUAAUCGUGGAUCAGAAUGCCACGGUGAAUACGUUCCCGGGCCUUGUACACACCGCCCGUCACACCAUGGGAGUGGGUUGCAAAAGAAGUAGGUAGCUUAACCUUCGGGAGGGCGCUUACCACUUUGUGAUUCAUGACUGGGGUGAAGUCGUAACAAGGUAACCGUAGGGGAACCUGCGGUUGGAUCACCUCCUUACCUUAAAGAA
Molecule: ribosomal RNA, 1552 nt
Filed under: Salmonella enterica subsp. enterica serovar Infantis
Lineage: Bacteria; Pseudomonadati; Pseudomonadota; Gammaproteobacteria; Enterobacterales; Enterobacteriaceae
Also listed under: 4 other names
Description: bacterial SSU rRNA
Rfam family: Bacterial small subunit ribosomal RNA
Source: RNAcentral